Molecule: ribosomal RNA, 685 nt
Filed under: Vibrio parahaemolyticus
Lineage: Bacteria; Pseudomonadati; Pseudomonadota; Gammaproteobacteria; Vibrionales; Vibrionaceae
Description: bacterial SSU rRNA
Rfam family: Bacterial small subunit ribosomal RNA
Source: RNAcentral
UCAGCCACACUGGAACUGAGACACGGUCCAGACUCCUACGGGAGGCAGCAGUGGGGAAUAUUGCACAAUGGGCGCAAGCCUGAUGCAGCCAUGCCGCGUGUGUGAAGAAGGCCUUCGGGUUGUAAAGCACUUUCAGUAGGGAGGAAGGUGGUAGUGUUAAUAGCGCUAUCAUUUGACGUUACCUACAGAAGAAGCACCGGCUAACUCCGUGCCAGCAGCCGCGGUAAUACGGAGGGUGCGAGCGUUAAUCGGAAUUACUGGGCGUAAAGCGCAUGCAGGUGGUUUGUUAAGUCAGAUGUGAAAGCCCCGGGCUCAACCUGGGAAUUGCAUUUGAAACUGGCAAACUAGAGUACUGUAGAGGGGGGUAGAAUUUCAGGUGUAGCGGUGAAAUGCGUAGAGAUCUGAAGGAAUACCGGUGGCGAAGGCGGCCCCCUGGACAGAUACUGACACUCAGAUGCGAAAGCGUGGGGAGCAAACAGGAUUAGAUACCCUGGUAGUCCACGCCGUAAACGAUGUCUACUUGGAGGUUGUGGCCUUGAGCCGUGGCUUUCGGAGCUAACGCGUUAAGUAGACCGCCUGGGGAGUACGGUCGCAAGAUUAAAACUCAAAUGAAUUGACGGGGGCCCGCACAAGCGGUGGAGCAUGUGGUUUAAUUCGAUGCAACGCGAAGAACCUUACCUACUCU